Daphnia pulicaria is the source of this 1727-nucleotide long non-coding RNA. RefSeq lists it as uncharacterized. The transcript has 4 exons. The record is from RefSeq and is a predicted model, not a curated record. Lineage: Eukaryota; Metazoa; Arthropoda; Branchiopoda; Diplostraca; Daphniidae.
CGGAGCGGUGAUAAAACACUUCACGAGUCUGGACUGGACUGGUGAAGCGUUUUAUCAGUGGAGGUUGGCCACUGAAGCCAUCACAUCAACGACAUUAGAAAACAGUUAUGCAAGUGUAACACAUUCAAUUUUCCAAGCAAGAACUCAUUGUAAAAAAUUCCCAAAGAGUGGACACUGGGACCCUCAAAGUGCUAGCAAAAAACAAUCGUCAGUUUCCGAAGUGUUCACCAAAUCGGAGGAUUAGAUUGUUGGAAGUUUCAAUCGAUCGUAGAAAAAAAACACACCAUUUCAGCAGAUGAUAACUGAAAUUUGUGCUCUUCGAUCUCAUCAACAAAGCUGUGAAUCGUCCCCUUGAUUUUCCACCAGGGUCAAGGGGAAGCGGAAGACUCUACUUGGGUAUUUUCCUUUUCUUUCGUCAUGUAUACCGACGGACCUGUGACGGGAUUUUAUUUAAAACCUCAUCGUAGUCAUAAAGACGUAAAAGAAGCGCCGGAGGAUCUCAAUAGCCUUGGUUUGAAAUUUAAGAGAAAAGCCCGGUAACUCAAAAAGACAAAAUGAUAAUUCUUGAAUAAAGAUAUUUUAGUUGAUUCAUUUUUUCCCCUUAGUAUUAUUUUAAUUAUAGGCCAAUUUUGACAGGUGCAGCGCCGAUUUACUGCUAGACACCUCAGAGAUUUGGGAUUCGUAAAACUUCAAAUUGAUUAAAAAUUGAAACUGAAAGCCAGAUGAUGAGGGAGGUUGGGGAUCUGAUUAAAGAUAUGGAUAAUAGCAGUCAGUCAGAUAAGGGGUGGUUGGUGGGCAUGUGGUUGACCUAAAACGCAUUUUUCAAAUAUCUGUCCCAUUCUCCGGGCAACUGUUGCAGGUAUUAAAACAAGAGAGAGAAUUAAAACUCGAAGGUUUAUCAAAAAGUUUCGAUUAAGAAAAUUCCGAGGUAACAACCAAAAUUCUGUUCCCAGCGUUUCAAAAAUUCCCGCAUCGUGAGAGAAUUUUUUAGACAAAAAAAAAAAAACGAUUGAACCCAUACAAAUCCAUAAGUAUUUUCCCGAUUUUAGGACUCAAAUUUCAGAAACUAAUAUUGUAACAAGUUACAAUUGUCAAUAGAAUAAUAUCAAUGAUAAUCAACUCACAAAUCACUCCAUGGAUGAAGUAGUUGAAGCUAGUGAUUUUAUUGACUUAAACUCAACGAGAUGAAAAAGCAAAACGACCUCACUUACUGAGAGCAAAACUACCAAGCCCUAUACCGCCCUAUACUGAAAACCCUUAACGUAAUUUAAAUUGUUGCAGUCAACCAAUCCGUUGCGACGAUCGCAGAUUUAUGCGGUGCAGGGGCUGAAUCGACCGAUUUGCAUCACAUUGUACCAAAACUUGACACCUAUAAGUUUAGCUUACCUUGUGUGGAAGCUGUUUUGAUGAAAGUCCAACGUUCCUACAACUUUACUGCACCGUUUGUUGCCCCCUUACGCCGUCAAAGAAACGAAGCUUCAUGGCUAUAUAAUACCAAAAGGAUGUGUUAUCAUGUUAAAUCGGGAUGCCGUCUUCCUAGAUGCCGAGUCCUACUGGAAAGAACCGGAAGUAUUCCGCCAAGAACACGAAACUGGAAUGAGGAUGGCAGAAAAGUGAUUAAAAGAGAUCAUUUCUAUCCAUUUGGAAAAUUAUGUGUUUUGGAGAUUCCUUGGCAAUUAGCUGAACAUACCUUUUUUCUCUUCACGGCUGCUUUGAUAAAAAAUUUU